Molecule: ribosomal RNA, 497 nt
Filed under: uncultured bacterium
Lineage: Bacteria
Description: partial 16S ribosomal RNA
Rfam family: Bacterial small subunit ribosomal RNA
Source: RNAcentral
GAUGAACGCUGGCGGCGUGCCUAAUACAUGCAAGUCGAGCGAACGGACGAGAAGCUUGCUUCUCUGAUGUUAGCGGCGGACGGGUGAGUAACACGUGGAUAACCUACCUAUAAGACUGGGAUAACUUCGGGAAACCGGAGCUAAUACCGGACAAUAUUUUGAACCGCAUGGUUCAAAAGUGAAAGACGGUCUUGCUGUCACUUAUAGAUGGAUCCGCGCUGCAUUAGCUAGUUGGUAAGGUAACGGCUUACCAAGGCAACGAUGCAUAGCCGACCUGAGAGGGUGAUCGGCCACACUGGAACUGAGACACGGUCCAGACUCCUACGGGAGGCAGGAGUAGGGAAUCUUCCGCAAUGGGCGAAAGCCUGACGGAGCAACGCCGCGUGAGUGAUGAAGGUCUUCGGAUCGUAAAACUCUGUUAUUAGGGAAGAACAUAUGUGUAAGUAACUGUGCACAUCUUGACGGUACCUAAUCAGAAAGCCACGGCUAACUACGUG